This 1225-nucleotide long non-coding RNA is filed under the name Lactuca sativa (garden lettuce). RNAcentral describes it as "long non-coding RNA (LSAT_LNC009409)". Lineage: Eukaryota; Viridiplantae; Streptophyta; Magnoliopsida; Asterales; Asteraceae. The record is from RNAcentral.
ACUAUCACAUAGGUUGUUUCUUUCUUUCCGAAAAACAUUUGUACACUACUAAAUUCAUUGAGCAUAUAUUGGAUAUGGUGAAGAGAUUCAAGGGAAACAGCAAGGAUGACGUCAAGUGCUUCUCUGAUAUGAUCUUGUGGUACAUGCAAGUUCGACAGGAAAUUUUUGGCAUCAUUCCUAAAGUCUACGAAGUUUAGAAGUGAAUUUAAGGCUAAUAGUUAUGUGCCUCAAUUAACGCAAAGGGGGAGAUUGUUGGGUCUUUGAUGUUGUGUUAUAGGGCCUUUUACUUAGUCAUUUUGUAUUAUCAAGUUGGGCAUGCCCACUCGUUAUUUAUUCUAGGGAUAGAUUAUUAAAGAUGCAUGCAUGCAUCAUAUUUUAGUUAAUUUUUAUCUUUUACUUUGUAACCCUAAUCAUGCCUCUACAGUAGUAAUUCUUCAUAGAGUUCGCCUGAGGCGUGAUGUUUAAUCAUUCGAAUUUCUUGAAUCGUUAUUGUGUUCAUUAUUUAUCUGUUCUUGAAUCUAAUCAAUCAUUAAGGAUUUUAAUCCUAACAAAUUCUUAUAGAAUGAUAGACUUUAUAUGUAGGAUAUGCAGGUAGAAUGCAACUAUGUAUAUGAGUAUGGGUAUUUCCAUGGUUAGUGGAUUAUGUAUCAAAUUGACAUGUAUGAUAUUCUGGUAAAAUUAAGCAUUGUAUAUGCAUGCUCAUUUUUGUUAGUAUCUUUUUUAUUCUGUUAGAAUUGUAACUAUGUGUAUAGUAUGUUUACUUUAUGUUAGUAUAUUUUUAUUCUGUUAGAAUAAUGAAUUAAAUUGAAAUAUUCACAAUUCUUGUAGAAUGAUAGACUUUAUAUGUAGGAUAUGCUGGUAGAAUGCAACUAUGUCUAUGAAUGUGAGUAUUUCAAUGGUUACUGGAUUAGGUAUCAAAGUGACAGGUAUGAUAUUCUGGUAGAAUUAAACAUUUUAUAUGCAUGCUCAUUUUAUGUUAGUAUCUUUUUAUUCUAUUAGGAUUACAAUUAUGUGUAAGUAAAACAAAUUGUGAUUCUUAAUGAACAAUCAAGGUAAAUACUUUAUUAAACGACAUAACAAAUAACAUUUAUGUGAACCGAACAAAUUAAAAUGAAAUGUCAUUUUAUUAAAUCCCAUUAAAGUAACAUACAAAAAAACUAAUUAUGGACGUUCUUUAAAGGAUAAUUUCUUUUGUUAUGAUGAACCAUCUGUUCACAUGUAGCAC